CCAUUUCUAAUAAAUCUCAAUUUAAACACAUUAACCAAUCAAAAAUUUGGAGCUAUACAUUACUUCUUGCAUAAGCUAUUUUGACAUAAGCUCAAAUUAGUCUUAUAAAUAAUACAAAGUUUAUUUAUUUGCAUAAGCUCAAAUAAGUCUUUUCUAAAAAAACAAUAUACCAAGAUAUGUACACAAUUUUUUAUAAAAAUAAUUAAAUAUCCGACAUAUGUUUUUUUGUAGUUUUAGUCCUAACCCCCAUUUUCCCCUAAAAGAAAGUUGAUUUGUCUUAUUUUUAAAUUACGUGGACAAAAAACACUUAGGUGGCAUUUCCAACAUGGAAAAUGACAUUAACAUAUCAUCAAAUCAAAUUUUUUAAUUGAAAAAUAAUUAAAAUAUUUCAGAAAUUAAAAAAAAAAAAAAACAUUUCAUGGUCAAUUAAAAGAUCAAGUUAAAUAAAUUAUGGGAUUCCAAAAAUAAAACUAAAAACCCAAAAAUAUUCAUCUUCUUCAUUGGUCUCUUCAUCUUCAAUCUAGGAUAGAACUCAUACCCAAAAAUCAUCACAUAUCAACACAUCUCUCUUUCACCAUAGAUCACAAACACACAAAACCCUAUUUCCAAUUCAAUCAAAACCCUAAAUUUAUAAAUAAUAAAAUCCGAAAUCUGAAAUGAAAGAAGGAAAAUGUGCUGCUUCAACCCAAAUACGAAAAUCUCAUCUCUAUAUUUGCCCAAUGUAACUCAAGUAACCUGCACCACUUCUAGAUCUCUCUUUCACCUUCGUUUCUUUUUUUUUUCUUUCACGAAGCCAUGGACUAUCAUGUUAAUUUGACAAGAGUGAAUGAGACUGUAAGUUUCUUUGUUUUUCUUUCACAAAAUUGAUUGGAGUGAAGGAGACAUAUCUAUUUGUUUCAUGGGUUGUCGUGUUUAUGUGUUAUGUUUUGAUUUAAACCCAUAUUUGGUUAAUGAUGGUAAUAAACAUGGAUCUACCAAUAAUGAUGUUUGGUGGCGAUGAUGAUGAUGGUGGUGGUGAACGAUGGUGUUGGUAUGAUGAAGGAGGGAUGAUGAAUUGUAAAUGGAUCUACCUACCAUGGUGUUUGAUUUUAGGGAUGAUAAUGAACUAUUGAGAAGAUGGAUUAUAAAUGGAUGAAGAUAUGAAGGAAUGUUAACAAUUUUGGGUUUUGAUAUACCGUUGAGGUUUAUUUUAUUUUUUUAAUUAUGUACAUCUAUAUUUUUAAUUGUUUUCUAUCAUUUAAUUGAUUUAUAUGUAUUUUUGAAUAAUAAGAUAAUUGUUUUUCCAUGUAUGAUUUGCCACGUAAGCGUGUUUUUGGACACCUCAUCUGAAAAUCUGACACAUCAACAUUUUUUGAAGGAAAAUUUGGGGUUAGGAUUAAAACUGCAAAAAAAAAAAAAACAAUUGAAAGUGAUGCAAUAGUAAACUUAAUGAAAGUGAGAGUAGUAGAGUCGUCCGGCCAAGUAGUAGAGUCGUGUUGAGCCACCUAGGAUAGAGUGUUAACUCUAAUGUUGUUCUUGUUGAUUGUUCUGAGUUGUUGUUUCUUAUGUAGAACCUUGAGAUGACUGGUAAUAGUGAUGCUGCUCUUGUUGCUGCGCUUUAGGCUGUAGCUCAAGCUGUUCAACAGCAACCGAAAGUUGAUGCUGGUAAUGAUGGAACUAGGAUGUUGGAGACUUUCUUGAGGAAUCAACCACCAACAUUUAAAGGGAGGUAUGAUCCUGAUGGCGCCCAGAAGUGGCUUAAGGAGAUUGAAAGAAUUUUCAGGGUAAUGCAGUGUUCAGAGGUGCAAAAAGGUGCGGUUUGGAACGCACAAUGUUAGCGGAAGAGGUUGAUGACUGGUGGAUAAGUUUGUUGCCUGUGCUGGAGCUGGAUGGAGCUGCGGUAACUUGGGCUGUGUUCAGGAGAGAGUUCCUGAGUAGGUACUUCCCGGAAGAUGUCAGAGGUAAGAAAGAAAUAGAAUUUCUGGAGCUGAAACAGGGUGAUAUGUCAGUAACAGAAUAUGCUGCAAAGUUUGUGGAGCUUGCUAAGUUUUAUCCACAUUACACCGUUGAGACUGCUGAGUUCUCUAAGUGCAUAAAGUUCGAGAAUGGUCUGCGUGCUGAUAUUAAGCGGGCCAUUGGUUAUCAGAAGAUUAGAAACUUUUCUGAGUUGGUGAGUAGCUUUAGGAUUUAUGAGGAUGAUACCAAAGCUCAUUAUAAGGUGAUGAGUGAGCGGAGGAAUAAGGAUAAGAAUCGUUCUAAGCCGUACAGUACCCCGGGUGAACUUAGGUUGAAUGACGAGAGGAGGCCCAAGAGGGAAGAGAAAACAUAUAUGCAGCGGAAUGAUGUGCUUCUAGUAUCACUUCAAAAGCUGGUUGAGAGUGCUUCUGAUGUGAUGUUCAGAAUCAGAUAUGCAGCGGAAUGAAAACAGAGCAGAGAAAAAGGAAGAGAGACACAAGCAAUUAUCAUGGUUCCUUCCACAAACCGGAAGUAGUCCAGUCCCCCUUGUAUUUCCAAGGAGAUUUCCACUAAGAAAUAAUCACACAGAUUACAACUGCUCAAUACUCUCAAGUAUGAGACUUCUCAAAUGCUCAAGCACGCAGGCGAGAGACUUCCAAUGCUCAAGCACUAAAGCAAGAGUCUUCUAAUGCUCAAGCACGCAGGCGAGAGACUUCUAAUCAAACAGAAUUACACAGAAAAUUGUUUGACUUUGAACACUUGAUAUACAAUUAGUGGUGUUCACAAUACAAUGCAAUAAAGACUCUAGACUUAAGAAUUUCUAAGAUAUAUCAAAUCAGUGCAGAAAUUCAAAGUGCUUUUUAGAAUCAAAUUUGGCAGAGUUUUGGCGCUUUUAACUUGUGUUGAUGUCUCUUGCCAAUCUUCAAGUCUUCACUCCUUUAUAUAGUGGUGAGUAGAGAGACGUUGAGAUUUUUAGCACGUCUAAAGAGUCGUUGAGUUCCUUUGAUCAUCCACCAGUAAUCUUUUGCCUGAUUUGGGUGUAGUCCUAUGAAGGAUCAACUUCAAAUUCAUUCCUAUCUUGAAGGAACAUUUAUGCAGGCAGAGCUGUUGUCUUGUCUUGUAGCAUAGACAAAAACAGAGUAGUGGAGGUAGUAGUUGUACACUUGUACUUUGUCAACUCUUCAAUGAAGGACAAACACCUAGUGCUUUUCAAAUGAACGUUGGUACCUCCCUUUUAAUCCUUCGUUCUCUUAGACGAGGUUAAAACGAAAAACAACUCCUUUGAAACUUUAGUUUAAAUAUACUGAUCAACUGUAGCUUCUGGUGAUGAUAUAGCUUCUGAUGAAAUCUUGCUUCUGAUGGACUUAUGCUUCUGAUGAACUUCUGCUUCUGAUGACGUCAUUACUUCAGAGGCACUUGUUACUUAAGAACCACUUCAUAGCUUCAGACGCAGUUUUCUUCAGAUGCUUUAGAUUCCUUUGCUCUCUAUUGUUCUUCCAAGACCUAUUGAAAUUGAUUAACUUUGCCUAUGGUCCUGUACACUUGAACAAUUAUUAGCAAUAACCAAUUGACAAUUUUUAAUACCUUGUUAUCAUCAAAACUCAUUAAGGUUUAUUGUGAAACACAUUUUGUUCCAACAUUCCGUUGCGGUGAAAAGGGUCAUACUGAGGUAGAUUGCAGUCAUAAUGAUGUAGUUUGCUAUAACUGUAAUGAAGAAGGUCAUAUUAGUUCGCAGUGCAAGAAGCCUAAGAAGGCCCAGACUGGUGGGAAGGUUUUUGCUUUGACUGGUACGCAGACGAUGCACGAAGGAUCGCUUGAUUAGAGGUAUAUUUUCGAGGACGAAAAUUCUUAAGUUGGGGAGAGUUGUAACGCCCCAAUUUUAUUUAAUUAUUAUUGGUCGAUUUCAAGUCUUUUUUUUAUAUAUAUGAUUUUAUAUUAUUAUGUGGUGUGUUAUAUUUUAUUAAAUAAGUUAUGUUACUAUUUAAUAGAAUAAGUGGGAAUUUAGAAUAAUUGGAGUUUUGGGGGUUAUAUUUUAAUUAAAGGAAUUAAGUAGGAGUUAAGUGUUAUAAUUGGGGAAGUUAAGAAUAGGGGAGAAGUUGGGAAACUGUCAGUCAGUCAGAAAUAUUUUCACGUGGAAGCAGUUUUUGGGAGAAAAACCAAGAGGGAGCCAAGAGUAUCCAAGAGAAGAUCGUGUAGAGCUUUGUUCAUCAAUCUAAGGUAAGGGUGAGACUAACUCUCAAUAAUUAUAAAUUAUAUAACUUCUGAUUUUGAUUUAACAUAAGGGUGUCGGUUAAAUUUGGGAUUUGGGGUUAGGUUUUGAUCAUUAGAUUUUGAAUUGAAAGUGUAGAAACCAUGAUAAAGAUGAGAGAUUGUGUACUGAUCAUAGAUAUAAUCAUAUAGCGAUGUUGUAAACAAUUUUGGGGAUUGAAUUGGGAAAAAUUGGGACUAGCUUUCUCUAAAGAUGGGUUGUAUAAUUCUGAAAAAGGGUUUAACAUUGUAGUUGUUGAUGAUGAAUUUACAUGCUCAAGUUAUGUAUAUAUGCAUACUUAUGUUUUUGCUCAAAAUUGGUGAAGUAUAAUGUUGUUGUUGAUGAAUUCACUUCUGAUUGUUGUUGUUUUUGUUAUGAGAUGUUGUUUUGAUGAUUGAAACCUUGGGUAAUCUUAACCAUAGAGCUUGAAGUGAACUUUUGUUGUUCUUGAGAACUUUUAUGAAAAGUGUGAUUUUGUAAAUUAAUGUUUUGGGUCAUGUUUUAUAUGGUUCUGAGUGCCUUAACAUGUAUAGAAAUGGUUAGACAAGUUUUUGGAUCAAAUUUGGGCAUAGGGAAGUCAAAAUUGGAAUUUUGGGGUGAAAAAUAGAGUUUUCCCGAGAGCUACCUGUCAUAACUCGCCAUGGCGAGUGGAGUUACUCGCCGGGGCGAGUAGCUCUCUGACAUGAAAGUUGUAGAUAAUUUUGUUAGCUUUCCAAUGGCUUUGGUUUGACUCGAAAAUGAUUUUUAGUUUUUGAGAUAUGAUGAAAAUACUCCAAGGAGGUCUUAGUGAAAUUUUAUGAAAAUUCAGCAAAACCGUUUCUAAGUUAAUCCAAAACUUAUGGGAUAAUUCCAACCCUUAAAACUAGAAGUACUAUGAGUUCAAUUAAGGUGUUUAAGAGUAUUUAACCCAUGUUGUGAGUUGAUCCUUGGGUUAGGAAUGAAAGUUUAUUAAAAUAUUGUUGAUGUUCAGUAAGUCUGAUAUAAGAUGGUUGAGGGUUUUAGUAUUAUGAUGAAUUUGCCAAUGCAUUAUGUAUGAUGUUUAAGUAGUGUUGAUUAUCAUUUGGUAUUGUCAUAUUAUGUGUUACUAGUGUUGUUGUUGGAUCUUAAUUAAGAUGUGAAUGUUGGUUUAAAUUGUAAGCGUGCUGGGUUGUACGUUGCCGAAUGAGUCAUAAGUAAGUUAUGCAAAUUGUCGAUGUUGUUAUCAUCGUUGGUGUUGUUGUUGAAGUCGUAGUUGUAUCCGUUGUUGGUGAUUGAUCAGGUUAGAUGUUUCUAUAAGAGGUGGUGUACUCUUACGUGUCGUCUUUAUAAGAGGUGGUGUACUCUUACUUGUCGUUUUUAUAAGAGGUGGUGUACUCUUACUUGUCGUUUUAUAAGAGGUGGUGUACUCUUACUUUAUCGUUUUUCUAAGAGGUGGUGUACUCUUACUUUGUUGUUGUCUAUGAGAGGUGGUGUACUCUUACGUGGUCUAUGUUGAUGAGUAUGACGAGGUUAUGAUGAUCUUCUAUAGUGUUGAAUGUGAGGUUGUUAUGAUAUUACAUGAUGUUACCUAUGAGUUAUUAAAUGUACUUGAUGAGGGUUAUGUUAAGUUGUCUUCUAUUCAUGAGCACUAAGGGGAUGUUAAGAAGAAGAAUUAUUGAGUGUAUAUGAUGAUGUCUAUGUUGUUAAUUGUAAUUGAUGAAUUUUAUGCUUAUUAUUAUUGUUUGAGAAAUCUCACCCCUUCUGCUUGGAAAUGUUACCCUUCGUAUGGGUAACUUGCAGGUAUUUGAAGAUUAGUAGGAGUGGUGGCUUAAAGUGUCUAGGGCUCUGAUACGUACGAGAUGGGAUUUUCUUAUUGUUUUUCAUUCCUAUGUAUCAAUUUUUGAAUAUUGCUGACGUAGCCCUAUGGUUGUUGAAUUUAUGUUGAUAAGGCUUUUAUGCCAAGAUUUAAUUAUGGAGAUUUAAACAGUUGAUGUUGUUGUUUUGAUGC
This 6149-nucleotide long non-coding RNA is filed under the name Medicago truncatula (barrel medic). Its description in RNAcentral is "long non-coding RNA (MTRU_LNC000129)". The record is from RNAcentral. Lineage: Eukaryota; Viridiplantae; Streptophyta; Magnoliopsida; Fabales; Fabaceae.